RNAcentral lists this unclassified non-coding RNA (240 nucleotides) under uncultured fungus. RNAcentral describes it as "sequence contains ITS2". The record is from RNAcentral. Lineage: Eukaryota; Fungi.
AACGCACAUUGCACCCUCUGGUAUUCUGGGGGGUAUGCCUGUUCGAGCGUCAUUGCAACCCUCAAGCGCUGCUUGGUAUUGGAUGUUACCCUAGCUGGUACACCCUAAAAAUAUUGGCGGUAGCACCUGGCUUCUAGCGUAGUAUGAUUCUCGCUUUGGAGUGUUUGGUGUGUGCCUGCCAGAACCCCAAUUUUAUCAAUGGUUGACCUCGGAUCAGGUAGGGAUACCCGCUGAACUUAA